CGUAGGGACCGAGCGUUGUCCGGAUUCAUUGGGCGUAAAGAGCUCGUAGGCGGCUGCUCAAGUCGAAUGUGAAAACUCGAGGCUCAACCUCGAGCCUGCAUUCGAUACUGGGCGGCUAGAGUCUGGUAGGGGGAUCUGGAAUUCCUGGUGUAGCGGUGGAAUGCGCAGAUAUCAGGAGGAACACCGGUGGCGAAGGCGGGGUCCUGGGCCAGUACUGACGCUGAGGAGCGAAAGCGUGGGGAGCAAACAGGAUUAGAUACCCUGGUAGUCCACGCCGUAAACGAUGGGCGCUAGGUGUGGGAGGUCAUCGACUCCUUCCGUGCCGCAGCUAACGCAUUAAGCGCCCCGCCUGGGGAGUACGGCCGCAAGGCUA
Molecule: ribosomal RNA, 373 nt
Filed under: uncultured organism
Description: bacterial SSU rRNA
Rfam family: Bacterial small subunit ribosomal RNA
Source: RNAcentral